Long non-coding RNA from Aplysia californica (California sea hare), 423 nucleotides. RefSeq lists it as uncharacterized. The transcript is spliced from 2 exons. Lineage: Eukaryota; Metazoa; Mollusca; Gastropoda; Aplysiida; Aplysiidae. The record is from RefSeq and is a predicted model, not a curated record.
UGCAUCUUCUCAAGAACUCUUCCAUAAGAGCCACUUUUGAAGCUCAAGCUUACUGGGUUUUUUUCUUUUAUUCUUUGUUUCAGAGUUUUACUGUUGAGUUUAUCAUAACUUGGUGGAUAGCGGAUUGUGGGCAAACUGGUUUAGUCUCAAAAGGAUCGAGUUACGAAAAGACAUACGCCAGAAUACGUUCCCGCCCCUCUUCUACGUGUGGAGACAUAAAGAUAAAAGCAAGGCCUUCAAGUGGAACAGCUGCACUUUCCAUCUGAUCAAAGGCGGUGAGAGGAUACUGUGAUACGUGGAGCCCAUUUUGUGACUACGUCAUCAAGGAGUGAUUAAAAGUUGGAUGAUGAUCGGUUUCUUAAUGUAGGACAUUCUGACUUUGAGGUGAGUGAAAUGUAACGAUAACAUCUACUCACAGCGUAA